Molecule: transfer RNA, 90 nt
Filed under: Cordylochernes scorpioides
Lineage: Eukaryota; Metazoa; Arthropoda; Arachnida; Pseudoscorpiones; Chernetidae
Description: tRNA-Thr
Source: RNAcentral
UGUCCAGGAGCGGGAAUCGAACCCACAACCUUCUGCUUACCGGGCAGGUGCCAUGUCCACUAGUUGUGGGUUCGAUUCCCGCUCCUGGAC